GGUGUUAUGGCAGAGUGGUUAUUGCGGGGUACUGUUAAUACCUUAUUCAGAGGUUCAAUUCCUCUUAAUACCU
RNAcentral lists this transfer RNA (73 nucleotides) under Phylloporus luxiensis. RNAcentral's name for it is "tRNA-Asn". It matches the Rfam family "tRNA". Rfam says of the family: Transfer RNA (tRNA) molecules are approximately 80 nucleotides in length. Their secondary structure includes four short double-helical elements and three loops (D, anti-codon, and T loops). The record is from RNAcentral. Lineage: Eukaryota; Fungi; Basidiomycota; Agaricomycetes; Boletales; Boletaceae. RNAcentral also lists the same sequence under 2 other names.